GCAAGUCUGGUGCCAGCAGCCGCGGUAAUUCCAGCUCCAAUAGCGUAUAUUAAAGUUGUUGCAGUUAAAAAGCUCGUAGUUGAACCUUGGGUCUGGCUGGCCGGUCCGCCUCACCGCGUGUACUGGUCCGGCCGGACCUUUCCUUCUGGGGAAUCGCAUGCCCUUCACUGGGUGUGUCGAGGAUCCAGGACUUUUACUUUGAAAAAAUUAGAGUGUUCAAAGCAGGCCUAUGCUCGAAUACAUUAGCAUGGAAUAAUAGAAUAGGACGUGUGGUUCUAUUUUGUUGGUUUCUAGGACCGCCGUAAUGAUUAAUAGGGAUAGUCGGGGGCAUCAGUAUUCAAUUGUCAGAGGUGAAAUUCUUGGAUUUAUUGAAGACUAACUACUGCGAAAGCAUUUGCCAA
Molecule: ribosomal RNA, 401 nt
Filed under: uncultured fungus
Lineage: Eukaryota; Fungi
Description: SSU rRNA
Rfam family: Eukaryotic small subunit ribosomal RNA
Source: RNAcentral